Molecule: ribosomal RNA, 803 nt
Filed under: uncultured Pelagibacteraceae bacterium
Lineage: Bacteria; Pseudomonadati; Pseudomonadota; Alphaproteobacteria; Candidatus Pelagibacterales; Candidatus Pelagibacteraceae
Description: bacterial SSU rRNA
Rfam family: Bacterial small subunit ribosomal RNA
Source: RNAcentral
CGCUGGCGGCACGCCUAACACAUGCAAGUCGAACGAAGUAGCAAUACUUAGUGGCAGACGGGUGAGUAACAUGUAGGUAUCUACCCUAUGGCCUGGAAUAACACGAGGAAACUUGUGCUAAUACUGGAUAAGUCUUUACGGAGAAAGCUUUAUGCACCAUUGGAUGAGCCUGCACUUGAUUAGUUUGUUGGUAGGGUAAUGGCCUACCAAGACUUUGAUCAAUAGCUGAUUUGAGAGGAUGAUCAGCCACAUUGGGACUGAGACACGGCCCAAACUCCUACGGGAGGCAGCAGUGGGGAAUCUUGCACAAUGGAGGAAACUCUGAUGCAGCGAUGCCGCGUGAGUGAAGAAGGCCCUUGGGUUGUAAAGCUCUUUCGUCGGGGAAGAAAAUGACUGUACCCGAAUAAGAAGGUCCGGCUAACUUCGUGCCAGCAGCCGCGGUAAUACGAAGGGACCUAGCGUAGUUCGGAAUUACUGGGCUUAAAGAGUUCGUAGGUUGUUGAAAUAGUUGGUGGUGAAAUCCCAGAGCUUAACUCUGGAACUGCCAUCAAAACUUUUUAGCUAGAGUAUGAUAGAGGAAAGCAGAAUUUCUAGUGUAGAGGUGAAAUUCGUAGAUAUUAGAAAGAAUACCAAUUGCGAAGGCAGCUUUCUGGAUCAUUACUGACGCUGAGGAACGAAAGCAUGGGUAGCGAAGAGGAUUAGAUACCCUCGUAGUCCAUGCCGUAAACGAUGUGUGUUAGACGUUGGAGAUUUAUCUUCAGUGUCGCAGCGAAAGCGAUAAACACACCGCCUGGGGAGUACGA